This 69-nucleotide non-coding RNA is filed under the name pig gut metagenome. RNAcentral describes it as "Glycine riboswitch". The stretch from base 8 to 65 matches the Rfam family "Glycine riboswitch aptamer", at positions 13 to 82 of the family's 94-position model. Rfam says of the family: This family represents the bacterial glycine riboswitch. Glycine riboswitches usually consist of two metabolite-binding aptamers domains with similar structures in tandem. The aptamers cooperatively bind glycine to regulate the expression of downstream genes. The record is from RNAcentral.
GAAAUCGGGAGAGAAUGUUUUAAUACAGCGCCGAAGGGGAUGCAGAAACUCUCAGGCAAAAGGACUUAG